AAUUCGAAGCAACGACGAAGAACCUUACCAGGUCUUGACAUCCCGAUGCUAUUUCUAGAGAUAGAAAGUUACUUCGGUACAUCGGUGACAGGUGGUGCAUGGUUGUCGUCAGCUCGUGUCGUGAGAUGUUGGGUUAAGUCCCGCAACGAGCGCAACCCCUAUUGUUAGUUGCCAUCAUUCAGUUGGGCACUCUAGCGAGACUGCCGGUAAUAAACCGGAGGAAGGUGGGGAUGACGUCAAAUCAUCAUGCCCCUUAUGACCUGGGCUACACACGUGCUACAAUGGUUGGUACAAAGGGCUGCGAACCCGCGAGGGGGAGCGAAUCCCAAAAAGCCGCUCUCAGUUCGGAUUGCAGGCUGCAACUCGCCUGCAUGAAGCCGGAAUCGCUAGUAAUCGCGGAUCAGCAUGCCCGCGGUCGAAUACGUUCCCGGGCCUU
Molecule: ribosomal RNA, 436 nt
Filed under: uncultured Streptococcus sp.
Lineage: Bacteria; Bacillati; Bacillota; Bacilli; Lactobacillales; Streptococcaceae
Description: bacterial SSU rRNA
Rfam family: Bacterial small subunit ribosomal RNA
Source: RNAcentral